UGACUCUAGAUCUGGCGGGACUACCCGUUGUGUUUAAACAUAUUAAUAAGUGGAGGAAGAGAAAUUCACAUGGAUUCCCAUAGUAAUGAUGACUGAAUCGAGAGAAGUCUAGCUUGAGAAUCUACCAUCAUCGACGUCCAAAUUGAAGUCUGAAGAAGCAUCCUCAGUGACGGAUCGAGCACAAUUCCCCUUGAAGGGGGCGCUAGAGACAAUGAGAGCCUCGUUGCGCUCGAACUUUGUUGUACAUGUGGCAUUGUUAACGAGUUGGGUUGUUUGGGAAUACAGCUACAAUAGUUGAAUGUGGAACGGUGAUGAGCCAGUCUGCCAAUUUACUUGCGGCAUGGACCGAUGCGGAAUGAGAUAGCAGCCCUUGGUACACUUGUGGAGACGUCGUCGUCUUGAUUGUGGAUGGUAGCACACGCCUUCUGACGUGCACACACUCCUAGCAUCGACCUGUGGGCUCCUCAUUCGACCAGUCUUGAAAGAUGGACGAAGCAAUCUGACAUAUGUUCAAGUGAAGGGGCGAGUAAACCUGUAAGGAGCAAGGAAGUUUACUGGUGGGAUGCCCUAGUAAGUUGCACCACCGACCGACCUUGAUCUUCUUAGAAGGGUUCAAGUGUGAGCAUGUUUGUCAGGAUUCAAAAGAUGUGGGGCGAAGCCAAAGGAAACUAUGAUGGAAGUCAGUAGAGAUGCUAACGUGCAAAUCAUUUGUCUAACUUGGGUAAAAGACUAAUCAAACGCCCUUGACCUAUUCUCAAAACAUAAACAGGUAGGAUGGGUGGUUGCUUUGUUUAGCCAUACCAUGUGACCGAGAGCUCUAAGUUGGCUAUUUUUUGGGAAGCAGAACUUGCGAUAUGAGAUCAAUCUAGGUUACGGUGCCUAAGUGUGUACUAACCUAGAUCCCACAAAGGGUGUUGGUCGAUUAAAACAACAAGACGGUGGUCAUGAAAGUCAAAAUCUGCUAAGGAGUGUGUAACAACACAUCUGCCGAAUCAACUAGCCCUAUAAAUGGAUGGCACUGAAGCAUGCGACCUAUACCCGAUUGUCGGGGCAAGAGCAAGCCCCCGAUUAGUAGGAGGGUGCAAUGGUCGCUGCAAAACCUAUCUAAUAGUACAAUAGCCCAACCUUCGAAAGGGAAUCUGGUUAAAAUUCCUAAAUUGGGACGUGGUAACCAAUGUUAACCAAGGGGCCUUUCCUGGGCUCAAAUAGUCAACUCAAAAUUGGUAUAAAGAAGGAGAAUCCAACUAUUUAAUUAAAACAAACAUUGUGAUGGUUCUUACGGAUGCUAACACAAUGUGAUUUUUGCCUCGUGCUCUGAAUGCUAAAGUGAAUAAAUUCAACCAAGCGUAGGUAAACGGCGAGAGUAACUAUGACUCUUUUAAGGUAGCCAAAUGCCUCUCAUCUAAUGAGUGACGUUUAUGAAUGGAUCCAUUAUCUCUAUCUACUAUCCAGAGAAACCACAACCAAGGGAACGAGCUUGGUGGAAUGAGCGGGGAAAGAAGACUCUCUUGUGCUUGGCUCUUGUCCAAGUUUGUGAAAUGACUUGAGACGUGUAAGAUAAGUAGGAGUCGAAAGGCGAAAGUGAAAUACCACUACUUUUAACAUUAUUUUACUUAUUCCUUGAGACGGGAGAAGGUAAUGCCCCUCUUUUUAACUUAGAAUUUAGUUCUUAUAUUUAACUUAGGUUUUGUGAAGAAAAAAAUGCUUGUUCUUCUUUUUUUAAAAAAAAAAACUGUACAAUCAAAAUCCCAAUCUGGAUAUAACCUAUGUUAAACAAAUAAAAGAGGUGUGAUAGUGUGCUACUUGGCACAAAAUUUGUUGGUGAAACAUACAAGGUUAAAAGUUAAGGAAAAAACACCAAAAAAUUGUCAAUAGUGCUAAACUAUUAGAAAAAAUACUUGAAUGCUACAAAAAGAAAAAACAAUCAAUAAAAAAAUAAGGGAGAGCAAGUUAAGAAGAAAAAAAAAUUAAAAGUAAAAAAGAAAAGGAGAUAUGAAAAAAUAUAGACUUAACUCCCCUAUUUCUAGUGACAACUUUCAUAAUCCUAGUUUGACUUUAUAAAACUAAUUUAGAUAGAUAUCAUUUUAAGAAUUUUUAAUUUUAAAAAUAACCUUUUAUCUAACUUGAAUAAGAAUAGAAAAACUGUGUCUUAUAGCACAAAUUGAAAAAUCAAAAUAAUUUAAGCUAGAGGAAACAAUAUUUGCAAAAAUGACAAUUUUUUACUAGUAAAGUGGUGAGCCUUUUUAAAAUGUCAAUUUUGCCCUUCAAUUUUCUUCCUCUUAUGCUAUUAAUGAUGACUUCUAUUACUGAUGUCAUAUUUAAAGGGAUAAAAAGUCCUUUACAACGGAAGAAUUACAGAGAUUCAGUUUUAAUUGGAACCUUAAAAAAUACCAAUACAUUGUCAAAAUUACAAAAAUAAUUUCUAUGGCUAAACAUGCUUUGAAAAAAAUACAGAGAAUAAGAACUUAUUCUCGUCGACGACUCUGAAUCUACCAAAAACCAACUUGGGGCACCACCACUUGGAAACCUUCUUAUUCUUUGAUUCAGAUGGUUUGUGGGAACCAAAUUGGAUUGAAGAAAUUUUUCUUUACAGAGAAAACGUUUUUAGAGAGAAUGGGAGAGUCACAGAAUUCGCAGAGCUCACCUUCAAUUUUGUUACGCAAAAAUUCCCUC
Cucumis melo (muskmelon) is the source of this 2673-nucleotide non-coding RNA. The record is from Rfam. Lineage: Eukaryota; Viridiplantae; Streptophyta; Magnoliopsida; Cucurbitales; Cucurbitaceae.